AAAUUGAAGAGUUUGAUCAUGGCUCAGAUUGAACGCUGGCGGCAGGCCUAACACAUGCAAGUCGAACGGUAACAGGAAGCAGCUUGCUGCUUCGCUGACGAGUGGCGGACGGGUGAGUAAUGUCUGGGAAACUGCCUGAUGGAGGGGGAUAACUACUGGAAACGGUGGCUAAUACCGCAUAACGUCGCAAGACCAAAGAGGGGGACCUUCUGGCCUCUUGCCAUCAGAUGUGCCCAGAUGGGAUUAGCUAGUUGGUGAGGUAACGGCUCACCAAGGCGACGAUCCCUAGCUGGUCUGAGAGGAUGACCAGCCACACUGGAACUGAGACACGGUCCAGACUCCUACGGGAGGCAGCAGUGGGGAAUAUUGCACAAUGGGCGCAAGCCUGAUGCAGCCAUGCCGCGUGUAUGAAGAAGGCCUUCGGGUUGUAAAGUACUUUCAGCGGGGAGGAAGGUGUUGUGGUUAAUAACCGCAGCAAUUGACGUUACCCGCAGAAGAAGCACCGGCUAACUCCGUGCCAGCAGCCGCGGUAAUACGGAGGGUGCAAGCGUUAAUCGGAAUUACUGGGCGUAAAGCGCACGCAGGCGGUCUGUCAAGUCGGAUGUGAAAUCCCCGGGCUCAACCUGGGAACUGCAUUCGAAACUGGCAGGCUUGAGUCUUGUAGAGGGGGGUAGAAUUCCAGGUGUAGCGGUGAAAUGCGUAGAGAUC
RNAcentral lists this ribosomal RNA (708 nucleotides) under Salmonella enterica subsp. enterica serovar Paratyphi B var. L(+) tartrate +. Its description in RNAcentral is "bacterial SSU rRNA". It matches the Rfam family "Bacterial small subunit ribosomal RNA", at positions 1 to 698 of the family's 1533-position model. Lineage: Bacteria; Pseudomonadati; Pseudomonadota; Gammaproteobacteria; Enterobacterales; Enterobacteriaceae. The record is from RNAcentral.